UCAGCUCCAGGUUGCUGAGGGUGAGCAUAAUUUUACAUUGUUACAAAAGACAGACAAAAAACAUUGGCAGAGGAGGGGGAUUGCUAAUAUGCUUUUUUUUUUAAAAAAAAAAAAAAAAAAAAAAGAAGAAGAAGAAGAAGAAGAAAGAAAGAAAGAAAAAAGAAAAAAGAGUGUGUUCAGAAGGAAAUGCAGCAGACUAAGAAAAAGGACGAAGCUGCCUUUUCUCUCUACCCCAAGCUGGCCUCAUGCUCCGGUGUGUUUCCAUGGAGGCUGUUGCUGUCACUGCAUGGCUCAUGCUGGAGUGUCACAUUGGAUGGGAGCCAGCUCAACAAGAAAAAUAAAAGAACAAAGAACUUUGCUGAAUUAAAAACAACUGGAAACAAACCGCAGAACUUCCUGAAAAUAUUUGCUAUACCCAACAUCUGACAAGAAAAGCGUAGAAGAUUGUUAAGAUAAUAUGAGCAAAGAAGACAUCCCAGGUGUUUCAGCUGCCUACAAAGUACAGAAUCAAAGAGUUUGAAGCCAUACCUACCCAACUGAAUGUGCUCUGUUGCCAAGCUGUCUGCAGAACCCUUCUCAGUACCAUGAACAAAACCCAAGUGCUUAUGCAGCAUUUCUUUGCACUUUGAAACUGCCCUUCUGUGUCUCCCUGUGCAAGACUUCCUCUGCAGCUCGUGAAACCUGCACACAGGGAACAAAUCACAAAUGGGCACUUUUGCAGAGAAACAGUGGAGUGCAACAUGACCAGGAGCCACACAGAAAACAGCACAGAGUGAGCUACAAGGGAAGAUGGUCCCACGACAAGUUGCUGUCUUACCAGAUGAGAUGUAGUUACUUUGGUGUUGAUAUAAGAAUUUGAUACCCCUCUCUAUAAAGUACUGCUUAAGAGAUCCAUCAUUUUUUGUCGCCUCCUGAACAACGAAAUAACGCGUAAUUCAAUAUACUGAGCUCAGACAAUGGAAUCAAAUACAAAGCUUAAAAUGAUGUAAGAAGAUUUCUCAGAGUGAUCUUAAGUCCAUAAAUUCAGCUGACAUAGUUUUGAAAGGAAAAUCCAGAGCCACUCGUUCCAUCCCUAGACUUUCAACUGAUAUGCUCUCCACAGCCAGGAGUGCUUUUCUCAAUCUUUUUUCCUUACAGAAAUAUUAACCAAACACUGGAGAGUUGAAAGAACCAGAAUUUUCUUUCACAGAAUGCGUUCAUUGACGAUUUCUUUCUCCCUGUUAACUUUCGCCAGUGUCAGAUUACACUAAAUAAGAAACUGUCCCUCCUGUGAUUCUGGAGCUAUUCUCUUAAAUAAGAUCACAGCCCUUCAAUGGCUCCUGCUGAAAGACAGCAACUUUAAAAAAAGUGCAAUCCAAGGUUAUAUGAAGGGCACACAGCUUUCAGAUCAGGGGAGUAGAGCACUAACACUAUGCAGCCCCACUUUCCUAGAAUAUGCAUCUUGGCAACACUGCUAAUCUAAAUCUGGCAAAUUGAAUAUUUUGAUCUCUGUCCCCAGAGACAAACAUACUCUUAUUAUAUUAGAUUAUAAUUUUCGCUCUGAUGCUGAAGUAUUCUCCACUAUACCCUUCAUCAUAUAAGAGAGGCUAUAUUGUGUACACUAAGGUUGCCAUUCAGGCCCUGAGCCAGGUGUUCAGGCUUACUCAGGAGAGUGGGCUGAAGGAAACAACUUCCUAAUUGUCAGUCCGAGAAUGAGCAACUGGCUUGUACGAAGCACAGGAAAACACUGAUAUCUACACUACAAAGCUCUGAUCUUCAGACCUGAGGAAUACCACUGUUGAUGUUUGCAAUGAGCUGUGUGAAACAUGGCCAUGUAUCACUUGUACUUCUGUGUAUCAGCUAGACCACUUUGGUUAGUGGCCACCUAGAAGCUGACUAAAAUACCCCAGUGCUUGGCAGCACAGUGCCAUACAUACAGGCAUGCUUUAUAACUAGAUUGAAAGAAACGGAAGCUGAAGUCCUCACUCCAAAGAAUUUGCAAUCUAAGGCUUUAUCAUGGCUCUUAGAAAAAGGGGCAAGCACAAUUUAUUCACAUUAAGCCUAAAACCAACGUAUACAAGGAACGGAGGAACUACUUGGCAGAUGAUCACAGGCUGCAUGGCAAGGCAGCAACCUUAUCAGAAAGGCUGUAUCUGCUGAUGUGGUCAGUUCCUGGGCAAAAAACAUUCACAUGCCUUUAUUCAAAAGGGAAGGCUUGUGAAAGGAAUUAGCAACACAAUCCCUCAGCUGCAGGUAUUUGAAUUGAUUAUCUGUCAACCCAAAGGUUCCCCCAAGUUCAGUAAAUGAACACAAUCUGUCUUCUAAAAUAUAUCAUGUAAUUUGUUACUGCUUUUUUUUUUUUUUUUUUUUUUUCCUAGCCAUGCAUCACAAAUAAAAAAGCACUUAGUUUUCAGUUUGGGUAAUAAAGGUUGAGUUCUUUUUCUUUUAACUUUACUUGAUAUUUGAAUUAGAAAAUUAAAUAAAAGCUGAAAUGGAAUAAGCAGUAGGUAACUUAAGAAUAUAUGUAUUUUUAUAACUGGAGUUAAUUUAAAUGACAAAAUGGUUCAAACCUCAGCACCUUACUGAUUUAUUUCAGAUGCAUCUUUAUUUAUUUCAGGCUUCCAUUGUUAAAAUAUGCUAUUGAUUUUCUGUUUUCUUUUGUUCUGAGGUUCCAGUGUGCUCUCUGCUGGUGAUGCCAUUCCCCAUUUGGAAAAUGAUUGAUUCAUUAUUAUUAUUAAAACAAAACAGCAACAACAACAACAAAACAAUAAUCAGGAACCAAGACAAAGUUAAAUGUAAAAGUUGCUAAAGUGCUUUCAAGAAUAUUAUUUACUUGACUUUUGGCUGGAUUAGAAUCUAAAAUGAAAUGCAAAUGGCUACUGGGGAAAAAUGAAGAAAUCUGUAUCCAUACAGGACAGAUCUAGGAGAGAGGAGAGGCUGAGGGACAGGACAUGGAGAUUUUAAAGGACUUUGCUUUUGAUUAGAUUUAGAAAGCUCCAUUAAAGGAAAAAAAUCUACAGGAAGACUGAAAAUAACAAUUUGGGGUUGUAAGAGUGAAUAACAGCAAGCGUGUAGUACUGGUUUGCAACAUGGCAGACCUGGAAAGGGUAAUGGAAAAAACCCUCACAUACACAACUGUCGGGUCUGCAAUAAAAGCAAAUAACCAAAAAUGUUCCACCGGCUGAUUUCUUCUAUUUUUAGAACUUAAUAUGGCAAGACAUCUUAAAAAAAAAAAAAAAGAAAAAAAAAAAAAAGA
Long non-coding RNA from Tympanuchus pallidicinctus (lesser prairie-chicken), 3235 nucleotides. RefSeq lists it as uncharacterized. The record is from RefSeq and is a predicted model, not a curated record. The transcript has 2 exons. Lineage: Eukaryota; Metazoa; Chordata; Aves; Galliformes; Phasianidae.